GUACUUCUAAAGAGUCCUAAACUAGGACGAAACAGUUGUCCAGUAC
RNAcentral lists this non-coding RNA (46 nucleotides) under Trichobilharzia regenti. The record is from RNAcentral. Lineage: Eukaryota; Metazoa; Platyhelminthes; Trematoda; Strigeidida; Schistosomatidae.